CAGUAGCCGCGGGAAUACACAGGGUGCGAGCGUUAAUCGGAUUUACUGGGCGUAAAGCGUGCGUAGGCGGCUUCUUAAGUCGGAUGUGAAAUCCCUGAGCUUAACUUAGGAAUUGCAUUCGAUACUGGGAAGCUAGAGUAUGGGAGAGGAUGGUAGAAUUCCAGGUGUAGCGGUGAAAUGCGUAGAGAUCUGGAGGAAUACCGAUGGCGAAGGCAGCCAUCUGGCCUAAUACUGACGCUGAGGUACGAAAGCAUGGGGAGCAAACAGGAUUAGAUACACCUGUAGUCCCUGUCUCUUAUAC
Molecule: ribosomal RNA, 301 nt
Filed under: uncultured bacterium
Lineage: Bacteria
Description: partial 16S ribosomal RNA
Rfam family: Bacterial small subunit ribosomal RNA
Source: RNAcentral